UCCGUCAUAGUCUAGGUGGUUAGGAUACUCGGCUCUCACCCGAGAGACCCAGGUUCAAGUCCCGGCGACCGUU
Molecule: transfer RNA, 73 nt
Filed under: Triticum aestivum (bread wheat)
Lineage: Eukaryota; Viridiplantae; Streptophyta; Magnoliopsida; Poales; Poaceae
Rfam family: tRNA
About the family: Transfer RNA (tRNA) molecules are approximately 80 nucleotides in length. Their secondary structure includes four short double-helical elements and three loops (D, anti-codon, and T loops).
Source: Rfam by way of RNAcentral